Molecule: long non-coding RNA, 1481 nt
Organism: Cavia porcellus (domestic guinea pig)
Lineage: Eukaryota; Metazoa; Chordata; Mammalia; Rodentia; Caviidae
Exons: 2
Source: RefSeq, a predicted model, not a curated record
GGAGGCACUGUGGGUUCUCCUACGAGUUGCUGUCUAAGCUGUUGGUUCUCCUGGAGAAGCCUUGGUCCUCACAUUGAGUAUUGCUUCCUGGCUCCUGGCUCCGGAGGGGAAGACAUGUGCUGCUUGGUCUCCAGUGUGAGCUCGUCACGCUGCUUCCUGGCACGUACCCGACUGUGCUUGUUGGAGGAGCUCGGGGCCUCCGUGUUGCUGAGGAAGGCUGUGGUGCCUUUCAGGACAGCCCUGGUCUUUGUUGUGAGUGUGACUUCUUGGCUCCAGUGUAGAACCCUCAUCCCACUAGCACAGCUCCUUCAUCCUGCUGGCAUAGACUUUCUGGCUUCCACCGCUGACCCUUGGGUCUUCCUGGCACGGAUCUGUAAAAGAGACUGGCUUUCCAUAGGUGUGAAAUUUGCCCUCUUGGGCGUGAAGCUAAGACCGUCAGUGACACCAUGAAGAUCUCUGCAGUGAAAUGGCUCGCCUGUUGGAUUUGGCCUGCAUCCUGCCUGAGUUCUAAGUGGACAGUGAUCCUAAAGGGACAGGGUGUGUGGGGAGCGUUUCUGUGAGCUAAGAUCCUCAUCUGUCUUUUGCGGCAAGAGGUAUCUGUACUUCCUCACCUGCGGACAAAUACGACAGUGUUCCUGGUGGUGAAUGCACAUCACUUUUAUUUCCCUCUCUUCCUUGCUUUCUGUUUCCUUCUUCUCUCCACAUAGCUAAUGAAGCUCUCACUAAUCCUGUCUCCUCUGGACUCUGAGAAAAAGCCACAGAACAUUUCCUCCAUGAAACAAAGGCUUGGGUUCCACCCUUUCUCCUCCCCUGCCCCCAAAUUAGGAGUUCCCAGGAUUCUCCGAUGAGAAGUAAAUUUAUGAACUCUUAUUUUUUGCUGAAAUUCUUUUUUUUAAUUUAGAAAAAUAUACAUAACACAAAAGUUACCAUUGUAACCACUUACAACUGCACACAUCCAAACUUGCAUUGAUGGAAUAAUCUCUGUAAGUUUUUUCCUAAAGUAUGUUAUUAACAUGAAACAGUAUGGUAGCAAAUAUUAUGAUGGACAUUACCUUAGCUCCCUGGUCCCAUCAGCCCCUAAAAUUGGAACUGAGCUAAAGGGUUUGAUCUGGUAUUUUAUUUACCAAGCACAAUUUAUAAAUGGGAACACCUUGGUAUCUUAGGUCCCUUAUUCAUGUAUAUGUAUGAAGACAUACUUCCCCUCCUAAGUGACAGAGGGAGAGCUCUUCAGAUAUUUGGGGGAGGUUAGAGGCCCGGGUUAUAUCACCGUGUUGUGUGUGAAUGCCUGCCUGUGGGAAGCAGAGGGCAUCUUGGAUUUACUGCCCUGUGAGCUCGGUCAAGGACUAGUCAUUAGGAAAGGAGGAGGAAAACCUUGGAACAAGCCAAGAAAAUACUGCAAGUUCAAUUACAAUUCAUGUUAGUCCAUUAUGCUGUUCAAACCCCAAACAGGUGGCCAGGAAAUUAAAUCUCUGUCCAAACGC